UUAUGUGAUCGUCUCUCGCAUAUCAAUAAGCGGAGGAAAAGAAACUAACAAGGAUUCCCCUAGUAACGACGAGUGAAGCGGGAAGAGCUCAAAUUUGAAAUCUUAAAGGGUUUCCCUUUACGAAUUGUAGUUUAAAGAAGUGUUUUUCUGUUGAGGUUUUGGUAAAAGUUCUUUGGAAUAGGACAUCAUAGAGGGUGAGAAUCCCGUAUUUGACCUUUACUUUCAACUUUGUGAUACACUUUCAAAGAGUCGGAUUGUUUGGGAAUGCAGUCCAAAAUGGGUGGUAAAUUUCAUCUAAAGCUAAAUAUUGGCGAGAGACCGAUAGCGAACAAGUACCGUGAGGGAAAGAUGAAAAGAACUUUGAAAAGAGAGUUAAACAGUACGUGAAAUUGUCAAAAGGGAAGCGUUUGACACCAGUGUUGUUUUUCUGAAAAUCAAUUAAAGAACUGUUUAUGCUAAGCUGUUUAGACUUUAUCAGCUAUCUGUUUAAGUUUUGAGCUUUUCUUUAAUGCACUUUUCAGUUAACAAGUCAACAUCAAUUUCUUUUGCUGUAAAAAAGCUUGAGGAAGGUGGCUUGAGAUUCGUCUUAAGUGUUUAUAGCCUCUUGCCUAUGCAGUCGGAGAGAUUGAGGUCUGCAGCGUAGAUCCUUCGGGGCUAAAUGCAUUCGUGCUAAGUUAUAACAUUUUAUAGACAACUUGUUGACUAUGAUUUGUCUUGUAGCUUACUCGCUUAUGUUAUUUUACCUACGCUUAGGAUGUUGAGUAGCGACAUACGCAC
Molecule: ribosomal RNA, 777 nt
Filed under: uncultured Neocallimastigales
Lineage: Eukaryota; Fungi; Neocallimastigomycota; Neocallimastigomycetes; Neocallimastigales
Description: partial large subunit ribosomal RNA
Rfam family: Eukaryotic large subunit ribosomal RNA
Source: RNAcentral